Molecule: ribosomal RNA, 546 nt
Filed under: uncultured Glomus
Lineage: Eukaryota; Fungi; Glomeromycota; Glomeromycetes; Glomerales; Glomeraceae
Description: SSU rRNA
Rfam family: Eukaryotic small subunit ribosomal RNA
Source: RNAcentral
UUGGAGGGCAAGUCUGGUGCCAGCAGCCGCGGUAAUUCCAGCUCCAAUAGCGUAUAUUAAAGUUGUUGCAGUUAAAAAGCUCGUAGUUGAAUUUCGGGAUUAGUACGUUGGUCGUGCCUUAGGUACGUACUGGUGUUACUGGUUCCUACCUUCUGACGAACCAUCAUGUCAUUAAUUUGGUGUGGUGGGGAAUCAGGACUGUUACUUUGAAAAAAUUAGAGUGUUUAAAGCAGGCUCGCGCUUGAAUACAUUAGCAUGGGAUAAUGAAAUAGGACGUUGAUCCUAUUUUGUUGGUUUCUAGGAUUGACGUAAUGAUUAAUAGGGAUAGUUGGGGGCAUUAGUAUUCAAUUGUCAGAGGUGAAAUUCUUGGAUUUAUUGAAGACUAACUACUGCGAAAGCAUUUGCCAAGGAUGUUUUCAUUAAUCAAGAACGAAAGUUAGGGGAUCGAAGACGAUCAGAUACCGUCGUAGUCUUAACCAUAAACUAUGCCGACUAGGGAUCGGAUGAUGUUAUUUUUAAUGACUCAUUCGGCGCCUUACGGGAAAC